Molecule: long non-coding RNA, 1540 nt
Filed under: Sus scrofa (pig)
Lineage: Eukaryota; Metazoa; Chordata; Mammalia; Artiodactyla; Suidae
Description: lncRNA (ENSSSCG00005017162.1)
Source: RNAcentral
AGCCGUGGUGAGUGUGACAACACCGGGAAGGCCAUGCCAGGGCCCUGGACCCAAGUCUCGCCCUAGUGGAGCAGCCACGGGUCUAGACAGCACCAGUUACCAGAGAGAGUGACAAAUGGAAAAGCUGGAUGGAUGGAAACAAUGACCAUCUAAUUUGGUGUAAGAGAAGACCCAUAACUUCCCAGGAAGGCUGUGGCAGCAAGUAGUCCUCUUUAGGGAUGCUGGUAUUGGUCUCCACUUCUCUAAAAGGAAGGGGUAUCACCGUUCCUUUCCUUCCAAGACAGAAACCAUCUGACAACAGCCUGAGAAACUGUAAGUUUCAAUUACUAUGAACCAUGCCCUCUGCUAGGCACAGGGAUUUAAUCAUCAGAAAAAGAGUCCCUGGCCUCCUGGUCCAGUACCCUACCCCUACUUCGUUCUGAGUUGUGGCUCGCUGUUUUUUUGGCCGGGCUCCCACAGUAUACAGUACCUCCCUACCCAGGGCUCCAGAGGAAAGAGCCAGGAGUGUGCAGGCACAAAGGGGCUUGUGCCCAGCACCAGGGUGCCUACCAGGCUUGGUGCCCUGGCAGCCACUGGGAGAAUACACCUGACCCUGGCCGUCCUGAACCAGCCUUGUCUACCCCAGGGCAGAGACAGUGGGACUUGUAGGUAUAGAACUUCUUGGCCUCAGAAGCUGCUUCUGUGCCACUGAGCCCAGUGGUGUCACCAGGGGAAAACUGGGGUGAGGAGGCCCAGCCCUUCUACCAAGUCAUCAAAAGCAGUGAUAGAUCGAAAAAGCCAUUUCCCAGCCUUUUUCCAUGCCUCCAUGUGGGGGGGCACCUUGCCCAUGGACCAAGUCCCAGUGAUAAGACCCUCAGUGGGAACAGAUUUUUCAAGCAACAUGCUCAAAUUCCCUCCCAAGUCCUUUCUAAGUAUGCUUCUGAUAGGGAUGGAGUAGGAUAGUUACACAGGUAGUUAUUUAAGUCCAAGUAGGGGACCAUGGAUAGAGAGGGAAACCUAGGGGAUUUUGGGAGAUCACUGUAAGUUAAUGAUCACUGAAGACAUCCAUCAGAAUGAAGCAUGUUUGCUUAACUAUAAAACCAUAAAUAAAAGCAUGAGAUAUGCCUCAUGUCAUUAAGUGAAAGAUAAAACAAGGCCUGCAUUCAAGUUCAGCAAGACAAUGAUCCUUAAGACCAAGCACAGGAAUUUAAGGAAAAGAUGACAUUCCCAAGUAGGAGAGCCUCUUUAUGCAGAACCCUGAGAUGAUUUAACAUAUUUAACAUACAUUACUACCCUUCUGCUGAUUAGAAUAAGUACCAUCACAGUCCUAGUUUGACCUCAUAGGGUCGAAUACUCUUAUGGGAUAUGAAAGAGGAGCUAAUGAUGUAAGCCUGACAUCUACUCCUCUACUUGAAGGAUAAGGAAGAAGGUGGUCUUUUCCCCUCCCCACUUUCCUUGGAUUAUAAAACCGUAGCCCACAGAAUCCUUGAGACAGAGCUUCUUUGCCUGCCUGGUUGUAUCCCUCACAAGCGUCCUAUCUUAAUAAAUCUAUUUCUUGCCU